UACUGAUUUCAAUUUUAAGUGCUGCGUACUAUUCAACGUUUAGACGGUUUUCUGUUAAUGUUCCAUUAUUCUUUGAAUCUUUAAUUAAAAUAAAAGUAAACAUUUGAACAUUAUUUGCUAUAUCGAUAAAUUUAUUUAGUGCUUGAUUUCAAGUAAAGCUAUGAAGAGGAGAAGACGCUUUAACGAGAACAAAGAAGCUUCCGAGUUUCGUCCCAGAAAUUUCGACAACAUAAUAUGAAGUGGAAACAUAGAUAAUUUAAUUUGAGUGCAGCGUCUGGGAAAGAGGUAAAUUUCUUCACUUCGCUAACAGUUUGAGAAAGUCAUAAAAACUGUAGUUGUUUAUUGAUAAGGAAAGCAUUUGGAGACUAGUAUGCAAUUAAAGUUAUGAUCGUAUUGACAUUAAUAGAGUCAAUUCACAGAAAUUGCAAGAAAUUUAGAUAUUAAAGUAACAACAGUGGAAAGUAAUGAUGAUUUAGCAAUGACAAAAGGAGCUACCUAGUGUAAAGACGUUAUUUCAUCCAGUACUAGAUACCAAACAUCGAUCAAUAAAUUUACAACGCAAAAUCAGAGGACGCCAUCAGAGUUUGAGAUUAAUAGUUUUUAAUUGACCUUAAAAUUCAAAUGAAUU
Long non-coding RNA from Ceratosolen solmsi marchali, 628 nucleotides. RefSeq lists it as uncharacterized. The record is from RefSeq and is a predicted model, not a curated record. Lineage: Eukaryota; Metazoa; Arthropoda; Insecta; Hymenoptera; Agaonidae. The transcript is spliced from 3 exons.